CCGCGGGCCCGCCUGGCUCCCGGCGGCGGCGCGGGCUGCAGGGGCUCGCGGCGGGCAGCGGCGCCCGCCCCUCCGGCUCCGGGUCCAACCCUGCCUUCAGCCCCGGGCGCCACGGGGCGUCCCCGCCGCCGGCACUCCGCUGGGCGCUGGGGGCUCGUCUGCCGACGCCCCGGUUAGGGACGCAGCCUGCAGGUCGGGGCUCGUCCUCCACGUCCUCCGGGCCCGGACACGCCGGCCGCGGCCGUGGGGCGGGCGAGCGCGGAGCAAGGCGCUCCCGGCGGAGGCAGCGCGCGGCCCGGGUGCCCGGGGCAUCCCCGCGGCGGGGGGGCGGGGGGCGGAAGGCCGGCGGGGCGGGCGGCAGGAAGGGUCGGCGGCGCCCGAGCUCCGCCCCUCCGGCCGCCGUCCCGCGGGCCCGCACGGUGAGUGGCAGCGGCCGGGGGGCGGCGCCAGCGGAGGGGGCGGGGCCGCGCGCGCUGAUUGGCGGCGGGGGCGGGGGCGGGGCCGGCGGCGGGGCGGGGGCGGCGGCGGGGCGGGGCCGGGGCGGGCCGGGGGCGGGGCGGGCCGCGGGCGCUGGAGCUGCGGGCGGACAGGCGGGCGGACGGGCUGGCGGCUCGGGCCGCUGCAGCGGAGUCGGAGGAGGCGGCGGGCGCGGCGAGCGCGGCGGGCUAGCGGGUCGGAGGCGCCGCGCUCGGACCGGGGACGGCGAGCGGGUCGGGGCCGGGUCAGAGGCGCGUCGGAGGCCGCCGCCGCUGCAGCCCGGGCCCCCGCGGAGGAAGGAAGCCGGCCGGCGGGGGAGCUUUGGGUCGCGUUUUGCAACUUUAAAGACGGGUAGAGAAGAUGGGAGAAGACGGGAGAAGACAAGUUCAUUUCUAAGGCAUGCUGAUACGGUAAUGGAUCUUCAAGGUGGGAAUCAUUGGGAAUUUGAGUUGAUCUAACUUCGCUCUAACUUGGAUUUUUAUGAUGUCCAGGACACCGUAUUUGAAAGGUGAAGGGAUUUUUAUUUUUAUUUUUAAAAUAUUUUAUUUAUUUGAGAGAGCGCGCAUGAGCAAAAGGAGGGGCAAAGAAAGCAGCAGAUUCCCUGCUGAGCUAGGAGCCCAAAGUGGGCUCCAUCCCAGGAUCCUGGGAUCAGGACCUGAGCCGAAGGCAGAUGCUGAACCCACUGAGCCCCGCAGGUGCCCCAGAAAGGUGAAGAGAUUUUUCAAUGAUGGUUUGGUUUUUUAGGACUCUGAAUUUAGGCUGAGAGCCUGCCCUGGACUCAGAGCUAGCCUAGGGAGGAUGGAGAAGUAGAAGGUAGGCAAGUGUGGGUUAGGGCCCAGGAAGCCUCCAUGGUUUUUGCAGCUGAGAUGUAGACCCAGUGUGUGCUGGGACCCAGUACCAAGCUGCUCAUUUAAUCACAGGAAUAGAAUCGUAUGCUUGGAGUGAAUUCCUGAUUGAUUUAAAGUGAUUUAAAAAUAUCCUGUAUCCCUGUCUCGCCACCAAGUUUGCUAAAUCCUUGUCCUUUGUAAAAGGAGAAUGAGUAAGUUAGCAAAGUCAGAGGACUUUUCAAAGAAUUUGGUUUGGUUCUUUGCCAGAAUGCCUGCGGGUUAGAGGGUUCAAUUGAAAAUUCACAUCCAGGCCCUUGUAUGUUAAGAAGUCACGGGUUGCUGAUUGUCAGGCAUCAAACACAACUUUAUUCUGAGGAACAAAAUAAGAAUGGCACAGUAUCUUCUGUGAAAAUAUACAUUGAUUAGUGGUGUGGCAGGCAGGCAGCCUUUAAAGGGAUUGAAAGACUAGAACACAGUAGUUACCCUUAAAGAAAUUUCUAACUGUUGCAUGUGAUGUUAUGUAAGAGUAAGUUAGUUAUUUGUUUAUAAGAUUCCUUUAUCUCUUUUGUUACAAUAACUUACAUAUGCACCAGCUUGGCUCCUAGAUCCUAAAAUCCACAUUGCUUAUUUGAAAACAGUGAAUGAUGGACGGGUGGGUAUUAGCCACACACAAAACCCUUACUAUGUUAACAAUUAUGUUGGAGCUAGGUGGAAGUAGUUCCUUGGACCCGUAAAUGUAGCCAAAGAGAUUGGAGGCAUAGUGUUGUGAAUCUGGGCCACAUAUAUCCUGUGGACCUCGGUAGUUCAGGCUCCUGAUUGAUCCUGGGAGGGUUACGUUGCCCAGGGACUGGCAGUGUCUGAGGCUGCUGAGCCUUCUGCAGUCCUGGGGAGAACUUGAAGGUGAGAGGAAAAAAAAAAAAGGGAAUUGGCCAGUUGUCUAGAUGUGAUAAUUUUUGUGACUGUGAAUUAAUGCUUCGCGUAUUCCCCUGUGGAGGAGCUGAGCUGUUAGGAACCGUGCAGUCGGGGUCUGGGAUAUCGGGAGGGGGGCCUAAAUGCCAGGAGGAGUACAGGUGGCAGAAAGCUUCAGCUCGGAGAGCAGAAGUGGGCAGGAUUCCAGAAGUGGGCAGCCUUCCAGAAGUGAUGUGCCCAGUAUCCUCUCAUUCACUAGUUUAUAGACUUCGUUGGCAAGGAGGCGCUUUACUGAAGUCUCUUUGAAAGAAAAAUUUGCAUUGUCCAAGAUACUGGGCCCUGAACUCGAUGGAACUGCUGCCAAGUUGUGGUGGCUUUUUUUGGGCAGGUGUGUUUGUAAAAGAGCCACAAACACUACCAGGCCACCCUUACAGAGAGUAAAUAAAAAGCAGACAUUUAGGGUUAAGCUGAGGGGUCAGAAGGUGCAGGCAAAAGUACCUGCAUCGUGGACCCCGUGGACCUACCUGGGCUGUCCUUGGUCAUCAAAGCAAGGUGAAUUUGGGCAGUAGAUUCUGGUGAUGGCGAAAGCGGUGGCCUUGGAACCCAACUUCUUGCAUGAGAAUUGUGAUUCCACCUCUCCAUUGCUGAGUUUAGUGAUCAUGGCCAAGGUACUAAAUUCUCUGCACCUCAGUUUCCUCCUGUGCGAGGUGAGAAUGCUGGUAGCACUGCCUCAGGGCUCUGCUGAGUAUUGAACUUGCUGAUACGCAUGCAGUUCCUAACCCGCAGUAGGUGCUAAUGGUUUAGGGGUUAGUACACAGGGCUCCCACCACGCGUUAGAUGAGGAUUGAGUAGAUGAGCACAUGCGGCACUUCCACGAUGACCACGGUGAAGGGGACAGUCAUCGAGAUGGGCAUGUGCCUGCCUCCUCCCCGGCCAAGGCCUCUCUGCACUUUGCCACGGGACACUGUGCAGUCUCUGCCCAGAUGACUCGUCAGCUCUCCAUUCUCUUACAAGGUUGCUCUCCAUCCACUUAGUUGGCACUGACUUUUGGCCAACCUUGAAUUGUUUUGAUUGAUCUUCCGGGCCUUGACAUCGUGGAGUCACAGAAGACAUGAAUGGUGUGUUCUUAUAAUCCUAGCAUCGUAGAAGAUGAGGGCUUUUGUUGAUUUGGGGUUUUGUUUUUUUAUUGUUUGUUUUUUAAAAUCAGAUGCAGGCCCAGAAUUCUGUACGGGAUUCCUCUCACACAGAAAGUAAGGUUCUCCUUUUAAAAACAGUGGGGGGUAGGAAUUCAUAAUCAUGUAGGUCUCUGGCACCUGGGUUGGGGAUUGCUACCCUCCGUCAUCGGGCUCCUUGUGGAGUCUUUUCUUUUGGGGGUGGGGCACAGGUUUAGCUUCAGGCUGACAUCCACACAGUUUUCAGGUUUGUAAAACCUGGACCAGACGUGGGGCCUCUCCUUAGUGUAGUGCCCCCUGUUUAGGAACAUGCACAUCUGCACAGGUGUGCUGUGAUCAGGGGCCCGGUGGUUGCCGAGGGCCUUGUAGGGGAGAGAGUAAUUAUGAGAGAGAGACAGGGAGGGGGAGAAGGAGGAUAUAAUAACUCUCCAUUCUGUUAAUCUCACCAAACUGGCCCACUGGGUUGAAAUAGAACAAGCCAUAGGCAGCAGCUGGUGGAAAGAUCUAUCCAACCUACUAGUUGAGGAUUUUUUUUUUUCCCCAAAAAAAGACCUACAUUGCCAGGAAAAGCUAACAAAAAUUUCAAGGCAGAUUUGGAGGAAUUAAAUUAUUCUUAGGCAUGUUGCCUGGUUUCCAGGCAUUUAGGGAUAUGUAAAUGUUCAUGUUCUUCAGAGUUCUGUGUCUCAUUUGUACAGAGUACAUUAGUACUAAAAAUGAGAUUUGCUAGUUCUACAUUUUUUAUGUGAAUUUCUGCAGUGGAUGUUUGAUUCAGGAUCCAUCAAAAGGAGAAGUUGUCUUCAAACAUAAUAUAGUUUAUUUUUCUAAUACACCCUGCUGGUUGCUUUAGGUUUUGUUUUGUUUUCCAUUUAAUCUGAUAAUGAAAUACAAAUAGAAUACUAUCUCAAAUUAAUAUUCUUACUACUCAGAAGUUUCCAAUGUUUGUUUUUUGCUUCUUUUAAUAUUAACUCUCCUAGGAGUGUCAUUGGACUCCCACAGAGAGGCUCUAACCACGUACAGUUCGGUACUUGACACUUCUGAAUGCCAACGUCACUAGAUGUGGUUGGAUUUUGUGCAUUAAGAUGCAUAUACCGACAAGUUCCUAGAAUACUAAACUGGGUGGCUCAGCGAUUGAGCACCUGCCUACAGCCCGGGGUGUGAUCCUGGAGUCUCGGGAUCGAGUCCCUCAUCGGGCUCCCUGCAGGGAGCCUGCAUCUCCCUGUGCUUGUGUCUCUGCCUCUCUCUCUGUCUCAUGAAUAAAUAAAUACAAUCCUAAAAAAUAAAACCUAGGAAGCUCCCUUUGAUGCAGCGCACUGAUUGUAUGUGGCCGUCGUUUAUUGCUUCACUGCUGGGCUAGCUUAACUGGACCCUUUAAGUUGCUUUUACUCUCUACAAUAAACCUAGGGUUGAGAAAUGACCGGAGUGCAAAGCGUGUACAUGUACACCCUGUUCUGUUGGCAGACCACGUGCUGACUUGCUCUCUAGCGAGUCUUUAAUUCCUCUGUUAAAAAAAAAAAAAAAAAAAAAGCAAAAACUUGCCCUACUUGUUUCCCCCCACACCAGGGCUAUCCUUCCAGGGUGAUCUGCAGCAACCAUUUCUACUUCCUCUUCAGUUCCUUGACUCCUUCAGUUCUAGGGACUGUCCUCACUCACCUCUAGCCUGGGGUCUGCUGGUGAGGAUACUGUGGUGGGCAGGGCCCCGGGUCACCUAGCCUUGCCUCAGUUUCCCCCUGCUGGAGGUCCCUUGCAGGAUUUGGUCUUAGGGAUCGCCUUUCACCACCAGACUCGUCUUACCCAUUGUUCCCAAACAUAGUGUGUCUCCAGACCUUCUCUUGGCUUUUGAGGUUGCAUUCAGGGACACCCCCCCCCCCCCACCGUGUUUGAGCCUUGAGCCGUCCUUGCACUGGCAGUGUUUCUUCCCUGUGAGUGCCCCCUCCACGCUGGCAGUUGCACAGCCUGCCUGCCCUCAAGCCCCCCCAGGUCAGCUCCGGGUUGGCCUUUUGCACCUGUUGACUCCGGCGUGAGCAGCAGCAUGCACACUCGUGCAAUCCCUGUGCUGUCGUUCCAUCCGUGCCCUUCCAUACCCCGUGCUUCCAAUGCUUGUACUAGCUCUUCCUAGAACGUGGCAUCUGCUUAGUCACCUCGGCCCCUGAGGUCGUGCCGCACAUUCCGCUCCGUGUUCAGAUCCUGCGGCUGGACGCGGCCCCUCCUGCCUCGGAACCCAGCAGCGAUCCGGCCCGGCCUCUGCUGUUUGCCUGGUGUUCUGGUCCCCUGUGGGCCGUCCCCUCGGGGGCGCUGCCACGUGCCAGCACACCUCUGGGCCCUGCCUCACGUUCCUGGAAGGCAGGGACGCUCUUCCUGAGCCCUGUGUGUAUACCGCGUUGAGCAAUAGUGCGCUGGCCCGUGCGUGGAUGCCAAAUUGAUUAAAUACUUGUUGAAUGGAAAUAGAAAUUCAGAUUCACACAGAUGGCAGAGUGUGAUGUUCAUUCAUAAGU
Molecule: long non-coding RNA, 5877 nt
Filed under: Canis lupus familiaris (dog)
Lineage: Eukaryota; Metazoa; Chordata; Mammalia; Carnivora; Canidae
Description: lncRNA (ENSCAFG00000052731.1)
Source: RNAcentral